This is a long non-coding RNA of Lycium barbarum (goji berry), 1137 nucleotides long. RefSeq lists it as uncharacterized. The transcript is spliced from 3 exons. NCBI's taxonomy places the organism in Eukaryota, Viridiplantae, Streptophyta, Magnoliopsida, Solanales, Solanaceae. The record is from RefSeq and is a predicted model, not a curated record.
UGUCUUCUCUAAUUUCAGCUACGGUCCAGUGACUUUAAGCUUCCACAUUCGUUGCUGGCCCGUUUCAAGUAAAGAAUUUAUGGGUUUUGUUUUCUUCCUCACAGAGAGGAUAAUUUUCAACAAUAAUAAUUGCUUUUUUCAAAUAUGAUUCAGCUUUUAUCUUUUUCUUUUCUAGUAUAAUCAGUGGAAUGAAAAAAUGAUUUUCAGUUUAAAAAUAUUGUCCCACAUCGACCCCAAUAGUUUUAACCCUAGCAUUUGGGGUUCUAUAAAUAGAACCUAUUUCUUCAUUCUCAGAGGAAUUUUAUGACCCCAAGUUCUGAACUUUUCAAAUUACUUGGCUUUAAACAAGAAAUUUCUCUUGCGAGUUGAGUCCUUGAAUUAUCAGAACGAGUAAUUUUUUUUUUUGAGUUCGAGUUAGUUGUCGUGUUGGUUCGAAGGUGAUAAACUCAACUUUCAUCGCCCCCGUCACUGCUCGACAAAAAGGUAGACAGGCAGAUGGCACAGACGCUUAGGAGCUGUAUUCAGCAGAUUUGCAGGAGCACUCCACUACUCCGGAGUUGUCGCUUAUUGCGAUGCCAAUGACGACGAAAGCAACAGCCGCCCAGAAGGGCAAGACUGCUACAGGAAAGCGGAUUGAACAGGAGCCACCGGUAAAUAUAGAAGAGGGUGAUUCCCAUAAUGAGACUCCAUCUCAUACUUCUCACUAGGGGUGUUCAUGGUUCGGUUUGGGUCGGUUAUUGGUUAAAAUCAUAACCAAACCAAUUUAGUCGGUUUUUAAAUGUCUAAAACCAUAACCAAACCAAGUAAAAUAAUAACCACCGGUUUGGUUCGGUUUGGUUCGGUUUUUCGGUUUAUGACUAGCCGUGACAAUUCAAAUAUUCUCUCUCUACAUUCUUCAAAUUUCUUAUGAAGCUUUUUUUUCCUCAUGGCCCACAAGGGUGAACUUUGCUGCAUAUUGAGAAAAAGACACGCUGUUGGCAAAUCAGGUGGACCAAACUUGCAACGCAGUUUAGAUUCAAAAGAACAAGUCAACAGAGGUUUCAAAAUACAAACAACCCUUAUGCUUACGACUUAUUAGAGUUGGGCUUCGAUUGUUGGACAUAUUCUUUUAAGACAUGGGCCUUAAAAAUAAGUAGA